UUUUUAUUGAGAGUUUGAUCCUGGCUCAGGACGAACGCUGGCGGCGUGCCUAACACAUGCAAGUCGAGCGAUGAAG
This 76-nucleotide ribosomal RNA is filed under the name Clostridium botulinum. RNAcentral describes it as "partial 16S ribosomal RNA". It matches the Rfam family "Bacterial small subunit ribosomal RNA", at positions 1 to 74 of the family's 1533-position model. The record is from RNAcentral. Lineage: Bacteria; Bacillati; Bacillota; Clostridia; Eubacteriales; Clostridiaceae.